CAAGAGCGUAUGUAAAAGUUGUUGCAGUUAAAAAGCUCGUAGUUGAACCUUGGGUUUGGUUGGCCGGUUCGCUUUUUUGCGAGUACUGGAUUCAACCGAGCCUUUCCUUCUGGCUAACCAGUCGUUUCGGCGGCUGGCGAACCAGGAUUUUUACUUUGAGAAAAUUAGAGUGUUCAAAGCAGGCAUUAGCUUGAAUAUAUUAGCAUGGAAUAAUAGAAUAGGACGUUAUGGUUCUAUUUUGUUGGUUUCUAGGACCAUCGUAAUGAUUAAUAGGGACGGUCGGGGGCAUCAGUAUUCAGUUGUCAGAGGUGAAAUUCUUGGAUUUACCGAAGACUAACUACUGCGAAAGCAUUUGCCAAGGACGUUUUCAUUAA
This 374-nucleotide ribosomal RNA is filed under the name uncultured eukaryote. RNAcentral describes it as "partial 18S ribosomal RNA". It matches the Rfam family "Eukaryotic small subunit ribosomal RNA", at positions 592 to 976 of the family's 1831-position model. The record is from RNAcentral.